AUCGUAGCUCUGUGGUCGAACCCAAAUCUAUAAGUUGAUCAAAUUGAAAAUAACUAACCAGUUGGUAUCUAAGGUAAGUAUGGCAACUUUGAUCUGUAGUCAUUAAUUGGAAGCUAUUCACAUAGAUUGAAUCUAUGUUGAGUUAGUGACAUAUUCUUCCUACCGAUCUCACAUACCUAACCAAUAUGGUAAUCAUAUUUUGAUUAGAUCACUUAAUGAUUGGGGUUGACCCAUGCUAACUAAGAAAUCAGUAUGAUUGAUUUUGGUGCCCCU
Molecule: long non-coding RNA, 273 nt
Filed under: Elaeis guineensis (African oil palm)
Lineage: Eukaryota; Viridiplantae; Streptophyta; Magnoliopsida; Arecales; Arecaceae
Description: long non-coding RNA (EGUI_LNC054326)
Source: RNAcentral